GAUGAACGCUGGCGGCGUGCCUAAUACAUGCAAGUCGAGCGAACAGACGAGGAGCUUGCUCCUCUGACGUUAGCGGCGGACGGGUGAGUAACACGUGGAUAACCUACCUAUAAGACUGGGAUAACUUCGGGAAACCGGAGCUAAUACCGGAUAAUAUAUUGAACCGCAUGGUUCAAUAGUGAAAGACGGUUUUGCUGUCACUUAUAGAUGGAUCCGCGCCGCAUUAGCUAGUUGGUAAGGUAACGGCUUACCAAGGCAACGAUGCGUAGCCGACCUGAGAGGGUGGCCGGCAACAGGGGAGCGGGACCCGGGCCCGGCCUCAGCGGGGGGGAAGAAGAGGGGAUUCUUCAGAAUGGGGGAAAGUCUGGCGGGAGAAGCGCGGGGGGAUGGAUGAAGUUUUACGAAUCGAAAACCUCUUUAAUGGGGGAAAAAAAAAUGUGAAAGAAACAAUGCACGUCUGGCGGUACCCUAACAAGAAGCCCACGGAAACCCAGGGC
This 497-nucleotide ribosomal RNA is filed under the name uncultured bacterium. RNAcentral's name for it is "partial 16S ribosomal RNA". It matches the Rfam family "Bacterial small subunit ribosomal RNA", at positions 28 to 508 of the family's 1533-position model. The record is from RNAcentral.